CACCGUGAUGAUAAAUGUACAACAGGGAUUCCUCAAUCUUAAUACACCAUGUAGAGUUUGUAACUAGUUUCAGCCUUGUCUGAUU
RNAcentral lists this small nucleolar RNA (85 nucleotides) under Sordaria macrospora k-hell. RNAcentral describes it as "A. fumigatus snoRNA Afu_455". It matches the Rfam family "A. fumigatus snoRNA Afu_455". Lineage: Eukaryota; Fungi; Ascomycota; Sordariomycetes; Sordariales; Sordariaceae. The record is from Rfam by way of RNAcentral.